This 423-nucleotide ribosomal RNA is filed under the name uncultured bacterium. Its description in RNAcentral is "bacterial SSU rRNA". It matches the Rfam family "Bacterial small subunit ribosomal RNA", at positions 355 to 775 of the family's 1533-position model. The record is from RNAcentral.
UGAGGAAUAUUGGCCAAUGGGCGGAAGCCUGAACCAGCCAUCCCGCGUGAAGGAAGAAGGCCUUAUGGGUUGUAAACUUCUUUUCUGUUUGAAGAAUAAGCUUGUCGUGACAAGUGAUGCCGGUAGGACAGGAAUAAGCAUCAGCUAACUCCGUGCCAGCAGCCGCGGUAAUACGGAGGAUGCAAGCGUUAUCCGGAUUUAUUGGGUUUAAAGGGUGCGCAGGUGGUUUAAUAAGUCAGUGGUGAAAGUCUGCCGCUUAACGGUAGGAUUGCCAUUGAUACUGUUGGACUUGAAUAUGGAUGAGGUAGGCGGAAUGUGUAGUGUAGCGGUGAAAUGCUUAGAUAUUACACAGAACACCGAUUGCGAAGGCAGCUUACUAAUCCAUGAUUGACGCUGAGGCACGAAAGCGUGGGGAUCAAACAG